Miniopterus natalensis is the source of this 826-nucleotide non-coding RNA. NCBI's taxonomy places the organism in Eukaryota, Metazoa, Chordata, Mammalia, Chiroptera, Miniopteridae. The record is from RefSeq and is a predicted model, not a curated record.
ACACAAGAACAGCCCAGAACUUGCAUGGUACACCACCUGUCCUGGCUCAAGCCUGGAUCCAUAGCACCUCUCAGCUCCAAUCUUAGGUCUCAACCAAAGCCAGGCCCAGUUUGUGCAGUCAGACCAUUGGGCCCCACUUUUGGCUUCUUUCUGGAACAAAAUGGGCCUUCUACUUGGCAGAUGAAGAGAAUGACUUUAUGCAGUAUGGGUAUGCAUGAGUGUCCCAGGGCCUCCUGAUAUCAAACAGGUAAAACUCUACAAUGCAGAUCAAAGGUUUUCCCUAAGGGUGGUCUCAAAAUCCACAAACACUGAAAUGGAACCUGUUUCCCUUUCCCUCCCCCUUGAUAGGAUUAAGGAAUCUGUAAAGGGCUGGAGUAGAUGACUUUCAACUGAGGUUUCCUGAGGAGCUUCUACUAAACUAAGCAACUAGGAAAGCCAGAGGUUAGGUUGGGCUAGACUGGGAAGUGCCACGAAGACCUCUUUCUAGAAAUAGGACUGCAUAAAAUGAGGCCAAAGGAGAAAGAAAACCCAAGGCAUAUUAUUUAAAGAUGAUUUCAAAAAUGAGAUUAAAAAAGAAAAAAGAAAACAUCACUUCACCCACUAGAUCUCUAUAAGCAAUGUUCCUUUAAAAAAUACCUACUCUUGUAACUAAGGAUGAACUUGUGUAUAAUGAGAAUCUGCUUAAUCAUUAAUUUUAACCACAAUUUUUGUUUACUGACCCAACUAUGCUGUAAUUGUUUGGUGGCCUAAUUACUUUAACCAGCAGUCAAUGUUUUCAUCAGAACCUGUAUGUGCAAUAAAAAUAAAAACCAACAAAACAAAAGUG